This 404-nucleotide ribosomal RNA is filed under the name uncultured bacterium. Its description in RNAcentral is "bacterial SSU rRNA". It matches the Rfam family "Bacterial small subunit ribosomal RNA", at positions 355 to 775 of the family's 1533-position model. The record is from RNAcentral.
UGAGGAAUAUUGCACAAUGGGCGCAAGCCUGAUGCAGCAACGCCGCGUGAGCGACGAAGGCCUUCGGGUCGUAAACCUCUUUUCUGGGGGACGAGUAAGGACGGUACCCCAGGAAUAAGUCUCGGCUAACUACGUGCCAGCAGCCGCGGUAAAACGUAGGAGGCGAGCGUUAUCCGGAUUUACUGGGCGUAAAGCGUACGCAGGUGGCUUCGUUAGUCGGACAUGAAAGCUCCUGGCUUAACUGGGAGAGGUUGUUCGAUACUGCGGGGCUUGAGGUUGGGAGAGAGACGUGGAAUUCCCGGUGUAGUGGUGGAAUGCGUAGAUAUCGGGAGGAACACCAGUGGCGCAAGCGGCGUCCUGGCCCACACCUGACGCUGAGGUACGAAAGCGUGGGUAGCAAACAG